AGCACUUUGGGAGGCCGAGGCGGGCGGAUCACGAGGUCAGGAGAUCAAGACCAUCCUGGCCAACAUGGCAAAACCCCGUCUCUACUAAAAAAUACAAAAAUUAGCCAGGUGUGGUGGCGGGCGCCUGUAAUCCCAGCUACUCAGGAGUCUGAGGCAGGAGAAUCGCUUGAACCCGGGAGGCGGAGGUUGCAGUGAGCUAAGAUCGCACCACUGUACUCCAGCCUGGGCAACAGAGCGAGACCCUGUCUCAAAAAGAAAAAAAAGAAAAAGAAAAAGAAAGAAAGAAAGAGAGAAAGAAAGAAAAAGAAAGAAAGAAGGAAAGAGAAAGAAAGAAAGAAAAGAAAAAAAAUGAAAUCCCAUAUUCA
Molecule: long non-coding RNA, 365 nt
Filed under: Homo sapiens (human)
Lineage: Eukaryota; Metazoa; Chordata; Mammalia; Primates; Hominidae
Description: HSALNT0407069
Source: RNAcentral